GAUGAACGCUGGCGGCGUGCCUAACACAUGCAAGUCGAACGGAAGCACGGGUACUUGGAUCCUCUGGCGAGUGGCGAGCGGGUGAGUAAUACAUGGGGACAACUCCUCUAUUGGAGGAUAGUCCGGCGCAGGACCGAUUACUACCGCCGACGAUCUUUUGGUGACAGCGGGGGAACUUCUGGCCGCGGGCUGUAGGGUCGGCCGUUGGCUGAUUCGCUAGUUGGUGGCGUAAUGGCCUACCAAGGCGACGAUAAGUAGCCGGGCUGAGAGGGCGACCAGCCACACUGGGACUGAGACACGGCCCAGACUCCUACGGGAGGCAGCAGUGGGGAAUUUUGGACAAUGGGCGAAAGCCUGAUCCAGCAACGCCGCGUGUGUGAAGAAGGCCUUCGGGUUGUAAAGCACUUUUGUCAGGGAAGAAAUCCUUGGCCAGAAACCGGGCGGGUGAUGACGGUACCGGAAGAAUAAGCACCGGCUAACUACGUG
Molecule: ribosomal RNA, 486 nt
Filed under: uncultured bacterium
Lineage: Bacteria
Description: partial 16S ribosomal RNA
Rfam family: Bacterial small subunit ribosomal RNA
Source: RNAcentral